GAGCGGCCCGGCCUUCUGGGUACCGAGCGGCGAACGGGUGAGUACACGUGAGCAAUCUGCCCUUAGCUCUGGGAUAGCUCCGGUGAAACCGUGAAUUAAUACCGGACAUGACCACACUAUACAUCUUCUGUGGUGGAAAGGAUUCCGGCUAGGGAUGAGCUCGCGGCCUAUCAGCUUGUUGGUGGGGUAAAGGCCUACCAAGGCGACGACGGGUAGCCGGCCUGAUAGGGCGAUCGGCCUCUCUGGGACUGAUACACGGCCCAUACUCCUACGGGAGGCAGCAGUGGGGAAUAUUGCGCAAUGGGCGAAAGCCUGACUCAUCGACUCCGCGUGGGGGAUGAAGGCCUUCGGGUUGUAAACCCCUUUCAUCAGGGACGAUUCGAAAUGUGACGGUACCUGCAUAAGAAGCGCCGGCUAUCUACGUGCCAGCAGCCGCGGUAAC
This 442-nucleotide ribosomal RNA is filed under the name uncultured bacterium. RNAcentral's name for it is "bacterial SSU rRNA". It matches the Rfam family "Bacterial small subunit ribosomal RNA", at positions 68 to 524 of the family's 1533-position model. The record is from RNAcentral.